This 301-nucleotide ribosomal RNA is filed under the name uncultured bacterium. RNAcentral's name for it is "partial 16S ribosomal RNA". It matches the Rfam family "Bacterial small subunit ribosomal RNA", at positions 509 to 807 of the family's 1533-position model. The record is from RNAcentral.
CAGCAGCCGCGGGAAUACAGAGGGUGCGAGCGUUAAUCGGAUUUACUGGGCGUAAAGCGUGCGUAGGCGGCUUUUUAAGUCGGAUGUGAAAUCCCUGAGCUUAACUUAGGAAUUGCAUUCGAUACUGGGAAGCUAGAGUAUGGGAGAGGAUGGUAGAAUUCCAGGUGUAGCGGUGAAAUGCGUAGAGAUCUGGAGGAAUACCGAUGGCGAAGGCAGCCAUCUGGCCUAAUACUGACGCUCAGGUGCGAAAGCGUGGGGAGCAAACAGGAUUAGAUACCCCGGUAGUCCCUGUCUCUUAUAC